UACGUAGGGGGCUAGCGUUGUCCGGAUUUAUUGGGCGUAAAGAGCGUGUAGGCGGCUUGGCAAGUCUGCUGUGAAAACUCGAGGCUCAACCUCGAGCUGUCGGUGGAAACUGCUUGGCUAGAGUCCGGAAGAGGCGAGUGGAAUUCCUGGUGUAGCGGUGAGAUGCGCAGAUAUCAGGAGGAACACCAAUGGCGAAGGCAGCUCGCUGGGACGUGACUGACGCUGAGACGCGAAAGCGUGGGGAGCAAACAGG
RNAcentral lists this ribosomal RNA (253 nucleotides) under uncultured bacterium. Its description in RNAcentral is "partial 16S ribosomal RNA". It matches the Rfam family "Bacterial small subunit ribosomal RNA", at positions 524 to 776 of the family's 1533-position model. The record is from RNAcentral.